RNAcentral lists this long non-coding RNA (1116 nucleotides) under Ananas comosus (pineapple). Its description in RNAcentral is "long non-coding RNA (ACOM_LNC023761)". Lineage: Eukaryota; Viridiplantae; Streptophyta; Magnoliopsida; Poales; Bromeliaceae. The record is from RNAcentral.
CCUCCAACUUUUGAUUUCUAAAUUUCAGAUUCUGAACUUCGAGUUGGACUGGGCUACUAUUAGUAGCAAAAUUUCAUUAUUGCUACCAGUUUUUUAGCCUUUGGAUCAACACUUUUCAUCAUUUCUAAUCAUUGGAUUAAAUACUAUAACCCAGUGGGGACCACUCAACCCUAGGGGGUCCACUCAACUCUAACUGACUAAUACCAUCCUAACCCUAUAAUUUUUCAUCCAAUGGUUAAAAUCUUGAUAGCAAAAAGAGCAUUUUACUACUAAUAGUAUUCCAGCCUAAUUCCUGAACUUCUAUCGAUAGCAAAUGGGUUCUAUUGUCACCCAUUUAUUUUUGAUGAUGGAGUCUCUAAAUCGACGAUCGGUACCGUUGAACUUUAUUUAUACCACUUGAAAUAUUUAGAAAUCAAAUUUUAUACAUUUCUAAUAUUGUUCUCUUAUCCAUCGAGUGGACAUAAAAAUGAACAGCUGAAAAUGAAUAUCCUUUAAAAAAUGACGAUAUGAGUCUUGUAAUCAAGAUUAAGAGUAUAGAUCUUGUUUUAAAUAGUUUUAAAAAUUUUUUAACAAAAAUUCAAUUGAUUUGGAUAUUUUUACGCCGUUAAAUGAGAAAACACUUCAUAUCGACCAUUAAAAUUACAAAUUUUGAAACCCUUUGAUUAUUAGACAAAUGAUGUCGAAAGGAUUUGAAAUUUGAUUUCUAAACACUUCAAGUGGUAUAGAUAUAUUAUGUUUAACAGUGCCGAUUGUCGAUUUGGAGGCUCUAUCAUGAAAAACAAAUAGGUGGCAAGAAAGCCCGUUUGCUAUUGAUAGUAUUCAAGCUCAACUCUCUUUCUCUCUCUCUCUAUAUAUAUAUAUAUAGUUGGGCUAGAAUACUAUUAAUAGUAUUUGUCCCUUUUACUAUCAAAUUUUUAGCCUUUGAAUCAAUUUUUUUGAUCAUUUCUAAUCAUUGGAUUAAAUAUUAUAAUCCAAUGAGAAUCACUCAACAUUACGGGGACCACUUAACUCUAAGGGACUAAUAUCAUCCUAAUCUUAUAAUUUCUCAUUCAAGGAUUAAAAAUUUGAUAGUAAAAAAGACCAAAUACUAUCAACAAUAUUCUAGCCAAACACACA